AUUGAACGCUGGCGGCAUGCCUUACACAUGCAAGUCGAACGGCAGCACGGGAGCUUGCUCCUGGUGGCGAGUGGCGAACGGGUGAGUAAUAUAUCGGAACGUGCCCAGUAGUGGGGGAUAGCCCGGCGAAAGCCGGAUUAAUACCGCAUACGAUCUACGGAUGAAAGCGGGGGAUCGCAAGACCUCGCGCUAUUGGAGCGGCCGAUAUCUGAUUAGCUAGUUGGUGAGGUAAAGGCUCACCAAGGCGACGAUCAGUAGCUGGUCUGAGAGGACGACCAGCCCCACUGGAACUGAGACACGGUCCAGACUCCUACGGGAGGCAGCAGUGGGGAAUUUUGGACAAUGGGGGAAACCCUGAUCCAGCAAUGCCGCGUGAGUGAAGAAGGCCUUCGGGUUGUAAAGCUCUUUUGUCAGGGAAGAAACGGUUCUGGCUAAUAUCCAGAGCUAAUGACGGUACCUGAAGAAUAAGCACCGGCUAACUACGUGCCAGCCGCCGCCGUAA
Molecule: ribosomal RNA, 502 nt
Filed under: uncultured bacterium
Lineage: Bacteria
Description: partial 16S ribosomal RNA
Rfam family: Bacterial small subunit ribosomal RNA
Source: RNAcentral